This 497-nucleotide ribosomal RNA is filed under the name uncultured bacterium. RNAcentral's name for it is "partial 16S ribosomal RNA". It matches the Rfam family "Bacterial small subunit ribosomal RNA", at positions 28 to 507 of the family's 1533-position model. The record is from RNAcentral.
GAUGAACGCUGGCGGCGUGCCUAAUACAUGCAAGUCGAGCGAACAGAUGAGGAGCUUGCUCCUCUGACGUUAGCGGCGGACGGGUGAGUAACACGUGGAUAACCUACCUAUAAGACUGGGAUAACUUCGGGAAACCGGAUCUAAUACCGGAUAAUAUAUUGAACCGCAUGGUUCAAUAGUGAAAGACGGUUUUGCUGUCUCUUAUAGAUGGAUCCGCGCCGCAUUAGCUAGUUGGUAAGGUAACGGCUUACCAAGGCAACGAUGCGUAGCCGACCUGAGAGGGUGAUCGGCCACACUGGAACUGAGACACGGUCCAGACUCCUACGGGAGGCAGCAGUAGGGAAUCUUCCGCAAUGGGCGAAAGCCUGACGGAGCAACGCCGCGUGAGUGAUGAAGGUCUUCGGAUCGUAAAACUCUGUUAUUAGGGAAGAACAAAAGUGUAAGUAACCAUGCACGUCUUGACGGUACCUAAUCAGAAAGCCCCGGCUAACUACGUG